UGCCCGGUGGUGCAAUAGGUAGCACAUCUGCCUCUGGAGCAGAAACUUCCUGGUUCGAAUCCAGGCCGGGCAA
Molecule: transfer RNA, 73 nt
Filed under: Endomicrobium sp.
Lineage: Bacteria; Pseudomonadati; Elusimicrobiota; Endomicrobiia; Endomicrobiales; Endomicrobiaceae
Description: tRNA-Gln
Rfam family: tRNA
About the family: Transfer RNA (tRNA) molecules are approximately 80 nucleotides in length. Their secondary structure includes four short double-helical elements and three loops (D, anti-codon, and T loops).
Source: RNAcentral